GAUGAACGCUAGCUACAGGCUUAACACAUGCAAGUCGAGGGGUAACGAGAGGAAAGCUUGCUUUCCUUGUCGACGACCGGCGCACGGGUGAGUAACGCGUAUCCAACCUGCCCCCAACUAGGGAAUAACCUUGCGAAAGUAAGACUAAUACCCUAUAAUUUCCUCAGAUGUCAUCUGACGAGGAAUAAAGAUUUAUCGGUUGUGGAUGGGGAUGCGUCUGAUUAGCUUGUUGGCGGGGUAACGGCCCACCAAGGCAACGAUCAGUAGGGGUUCUGAGAGGAAGGUCCCCCACAUUGGACCUGAGACACGGUCCAAACUCCUACGGGAGGCAGCAGGGAGGAAUAUUGGUCAAGGGGCGGAAGCCUGAACCAGCAAAGAAGCGUGCAGGAUGACGGCCCUAUGGGUUGUAAACUGUUUUUAUACGGGAAUAAAGUUAGCCACGUGUGGUUAUUUGUAGGUACUGUAUGAAUAAGGACCGGCUAAUUCCGUGCCAGCCGCCGCCGUAA
RNAcentral lists this ribosomal RNA (506 nucleotides) under uncultured bacterium. RNAcentral describes it as "partial 16S ribosomal RNA". It matches the Rfam family "Bacterial small subunit ribosomal RNA", at positions 28 to 523 of the family's 1533-position model. The record is from RNAcentral.